This 514-nucleotide ribosomal RNA is filed under the name uncultured bacterium. Its description in RNAcentral is "partial 16S ribosomal RNA". It matches the Rfam family "Bacterial small subunit ribosomal RNA", at positions 28 to 523 of the family's 1533-position model. The record is from RNAcentral.
GACGAACGCUGGCGGCGUGCCUAACACAUGCAAGUCGAACGGAGAAUUAGCAAUAAUUCUUAGUGGCGAACGGGUGAAUAACGCGUAGACAACCUACCCUUUAGAUGGGGACAACACCGCGAAAGUGGUGCUAAUACCGAAUAUUGCUUGAGAAGCGCAUGCCUUUCAAACUAAAGAUGGCCUCUAUUUAUAAGCUAUCGCUAAAGAAUGGGUCUGCGUCUGAUUAGCUAGUUGGUGAGAUAAAAGCUCACCAAGGCAACGAUCAGUAGCCGGUAUGAGAGGAUGAACGGCCACACUGGGACUGAGACACGGCCCAGAAUCCUACGGGAGGCAGCAGUGGGGAAUCUUCCGCAAUGGACGAAAGUCUGACGGAGCAACGCCGCGUGAGUGAUGAAGGUUUUCGGAUCGUAAAACUCUGUUGUUAAGGACGAAUGUAUAGGUUGUGAAUAAUGGUUUAUAAUGACGGUACUUAACGAGGAAGCCACGGCUAACUACGUGCCAGCAGCCGCAGUAA